RNAcentral lists this small RNA (143 nucleotides) under Bacillus sp. (in: firmicutes). RNAcentral's name for it is "Bacillus sp. c-di-AMP sequence". It matches the Rfam family "c-di-AMP riboswitch aptamer (ydaO/yuaA leader)". From Rfam's summary of the family: This family represents a conserved RNA structure found upstream of the ydaO and yuaA genes in Bacillus subtilis and related genes in other bacteria. The ydaO/yuaA element is thought to act as a genetic "off" switch for the ydaO and yuaA genes in its native state. The record is from RNAcentral. RNAcentral also lists the same sequence under 1 other name. Lineage: Bacteria; Bacillati; Bacillota; Bacilli; Caryophanales; Bacillaceae.
AUUUCUAAAUCGCUGAGUCAAUUCGAACGGGGAAACCAUUUUUGUGGCAUAUUCUUGCCACUGGGGUGAAUCCUAUUUAUAGGUAGGGCUACUCUUUGGUCCAAAUCCGACAGCUAACUCCGUAGGCGUAUAGGAGAAGAAGG